GACGAACGCUGGCGGCGUGCCUAAUACAUGCAAGUCGAACGCAGUGGGGACGGGUGAGUAACACGUGGGUAACCUCCCAUCAGAGGGGAUAACACUUGGAAACAGGUGCUAAACCGAUACGGAUGGAGGGACCCGCGGUGCAUUAGCUAGUGGGUGAGGUAACGGCUCACCAGGGCCACGAUGCAUAGCCGGCCUGAGAGGGGGAUCUGCCACACUGGGACUGAGACACGGCCCAGACUCCUACGGGAGGCAGCAGUGGGGAAUCUUCGGCAAUGGACGAAAGUCUGACCGAGCAACGCCGCGUGAGUGAAGAAGGUUUUCGGAUCGUAAAACUCUGUUGUUAGAGAAGCGGUAUCUAACCAGAAAGCCACGGCUAACUACGUGCCAGCCGCCGCGGUAAUAC
This 403-nucleotide ribosomal RNA is filed under the name uncultured bacterium. RNAcentral's name for it is "partial 16S ribosomal RNA". It matches the Rfam family "Bacterial small subunit ribosomal RNA", at positions 28 to 526 of the family's 1533-position model. The record is from RNAcentral.